This 253-nucleotide ribosomal RNA is filed under the name uncultured bacterium. RNAcentral's name for it is "partial 16S ribosomal RNA". It matches the Rfam family "Bacterial small subunit ribosomal RNA", at positions 524 to 776 of the family's 1533-position model. The record is from RNAcentral.
GACGUAGGGGGCAAGCGUUGUCCGGAAUCACUGGGCGUAAAGCGCGCGCAGGCGGCGAUCUGCGUCUGGGGUGAAAGCCCGGAGCUCAACUCCGGGACUGCCUUGGAUACGGGGUCGCUUGAGGAUCGGAGAGGCAAGGGGAAUUCCACGUGUAGCGGUGAAAUGCGUAGAGAUGUGGAGGAACACCUGUGGCGAAGGCGCCUUGCUGGCCGAUUUCUGACGCUGAGGCGCGAAAGCGUGGGGAGCAAACAGG